Molecule: long non-coding RNA, 538 nt
Organism: Saccostrea cuccullata (small rock oyster)
Lineage: Eukaryota; Metazoa; Mollusca; Bivalvia; Ostreida; Ostreidae
Exons: 2
Source: RefSeq, a predicted model, not a curated record
GCUUCACGUUUAACUGACCAGUCCACGGAUAUGAGUAAAUAUUUAUGAAUUGUUCAAUAAACAGGUUCACACAACCCACGCGUGUGUGAUUGCCGGCUAGUAGAUUUAAAUGUUACGGAAUAACACUGCUGUAUGUACUGCACUCAAUACAACACUAAACCAGCAAAAGCACUUGAUCAACUGGCUUAGUAAACAAACUGUGUCGCAUAGUUCAUCUGGUGCAAAAUUCCCUCUCAGCCAAUCAGUGACUAGCUUUUCUGACUAAGCCCCUCCCCUAAAGCCAUUUUAGGACAGUGAAGGGAAGCAAUUUACAUACAUUUCCAUUAUAUUUUUUUUCUCCUCUAUCAAUUUUAUCUUCAGGAUGAUGUGAAAGAUAAGGAAUAUUUCAACAGAAUCUUUCAUCACUUCUCUUAUGCAAGCAGCUUCAAUAUUUUUUUUUGCACAAAUAAAAAAAUAUCAUCUGAGGGAUGCCCUGUUCAACAGAACCCAGCACUCACUCAAGCCCAACGAAGCAGAAAGAAUGGUGUCAAUCUAAUUA